CAAGGUCGUGCAGAAGGCCUGUUUCCUAGGCUACAGAGCGGGGACUAGGUCCUUAUCUUCCACCAAGGGGAAAGUCCCCUGACUUCGGGCAGAGAGUGCCACGUGCAUGCACACAUAGACGUCCCUCCGCUUCCCAGUGUAGAGGCCACCAAGAAGCGAAUCCCAAAUGCAUAAGCCAGGAAUCACGGCAUCGUCUUUGAAUUGUUCACUCCACAUCCAAUAGAUCUUAUAGUUCUGUUGCUUA
Molecule: long non-coding RNA, 244 nt
Filed under: Propithecus coquereli (Coquerel's sifaka)
Lineage: Eukaryota; Metazoa; Chordata; Mammalia; Primates; Indriidae
Description: RNase MRP (ENSPCOG00000002777.1)
Rfam family: RNase MRP
About the family: RNase MRP is an enzymatically active ribonucleoprotein with two distinct roles in eukaryotes. In mitochondria it plays a direct role in the initiation of mitochondrial DNA replication.
Source: RNAcentral